Long non-coding RNA from Ipomoea nil (Japanese morning glory), 193 nucleotides. RefSeq lists it as uncharacterized. The transcript has 3 exons. The record is from RefSeq and is a predicted model, not a curated record. Lineage: Eukaryota; Viridiplantae; Streptophyta; Magnoliopsida; Solanales; Convolvulaceae.
CACAGCCCUACCUUCUGCUUCAGCUCGGAGAGAGGAUAUACCUAGCGCCUCACCCUCUGUAUUCCAACUGCUCAACAGAUGCACAUCUCAUACCUGUUGAGUUGCCAGAGAUGUAAUCCUUGACUAGCAGAAAUACAAGAAGUCUUUCAAAGCAUCACAAGCAAAAAAAAAAAAAAAAAAAAAAAAAAAAAAA